CCUACGGGUGGCAGCAGUCGAGAAUCAUUCACAAUGGGGGAAACCCUGAUGGUGCGACGCCGCGUGGGGGAAUGAAGGUCUUCGGAUUGUAAACCCCUGUCAUGUGGGAGCAAAUUAAAAAGAUAGUACCACAAGAGGAAGAGACGGCUAACUCUGUGCCAGCAGCCGCGGUAAUACAGAGGUCUCAAGCGUUGUUCGGAGUCACUGGGCGGAAGGCGUGCGCAGGCUGUUUCGUAAGUCGUGUGUGAAAGGCGCGGGCUCAACCCGCGGACGGCACAUGUUACUGCGAGACUAGAGUGACGGAGGGGGAACCGGAAUUCUCGGUGUAGCCGUGAAAUGCGUAGAUAUCGAGAGGAACACUCGUGGCGAAGGCGGGUUCCUGGACAUUAACUGACGCUGAGGCACGAAGGCCAGGGGAGCGAAAGGGAUUAGAUACCCUUGUAGUC
This 446-nucleotide ribosomal RNA is filed under the name uncultured bacterium. RNAcentral's name for it is "partial 16S ribosomal RNA". It matches the Rfam family "Bacterial small subunit ribosomal RNA", at positions 338 to 795 of the family's 1533-position model. The record is from RNAcentral.